Molecule: unclassified non-coding RNA, 240 nt
Filed under: soil metagenome
Description: partial contains 5.8S ribosomal RNA, internal transcribed spacer 2, and large subunit ribosomal RNA
Source: RNAcentral
AACCUUAUGGACCUGCGGGCGUAUACCUGCGGAAGGAUCAUUAUUGAAUUUUAAUGAAGAGUCUGGUUGUAGCUGGUCCAUUUAAUUGGGCAUGUGCACACCUUUCUCUUUCAUCCAUACACACCUGUGAACCUGUGAGACAGAUGGGAAAUUUUUGCUUAUUUAUUUUUUGAAAUACAAAGAUAAGUGAGUGAUUUGGACCCCUCUGUCUACUCAAUUCAAUAUAAACUCAAUUUAUUC